CACACACCCAAGCAAAUGAACCCUGCUGAAGUUCACCAUCUCCACUCAGGUUGCUUCCCCAGGAGACCAGCCUUCACUGGGGGAGAAGACUGCCCUGCGACGGGCUCUCCUUGGCAAGCAUAGCAAAAGACAGCCAGCCAUGGCACAGGUCACAGGCAGAAAGGACAGGUUUUACUGGGUGAAGCUGUAUCUCAGCAGACUCCCAGGUUCACCAGGGGUACACCACGUUGGAGCUAGAAGGCUGGAUAUCCAAUGUAUUCGAGGACUUCAGGAUAAUCUUGGCAUCAGUUGUUCUACUAGAAUCUGAACCAAAGACCACUUCAUGGGAGUCUUUUCCUCAAACUUGUAAUAGGUAUGUUUAAGAACCAGCUGUGAUUCCUGGGUGAGGGGAAUGAGAAGAUAAGCAUCUGUAACUGGUGAGUCUGUAUCACAGAAGCUGAAGUCCAGCAUGUUUUCUCCUGCAGUCUUUACCUCUGCCCAAAGGCAGACUCCUAAAGAAUGAUCCAGUGGAGAUGUGGACCCUGUAUACUGGGUUUAAGCCUACUGACAAAGCAUGGGCUCUUUCCAGUCAUGUUUCACAUGGCUUGCUCAGAAGCAGCCCUUAGUUACCUGGCCAUCUAGUACAGAAAAUUCUCAUCAUCUACUUGUGGAAUAGUCAAUAGUUUGGCUAAUGAGAAAUCUCUUUGGAUCACCUAGCUGAUGUGACACAAUUAUUCUACUUUGAGAUAGAGGACACACUGCUUUUAUGUUUGAAUUGAAAUGCCCUUCCCAGACUGUGACUUGAAGGGAGACUGAUGAUAGUUGUACAAGAAACCCUUUGGAAGACUCUCUGGUCCUUGGAUUAUUCCAUGAGCUUGAAGCUUUUCUUGGAUUAGAGUAUCUUCCCAGGAAAUCGAUGGUGGUGUGGGAUUUCAUUUAUCUGCGAGAGUGGAUUGCAUGCCUGAGGUUCUGUGACCACUUUGUUCCAAAAAUGAUGUGUUUAAAAAUAAAUAACAGGCACCAGAUGGCAGCAUUUUCCCUCACUCCGAGUGUGAUCUCAUCCUCUCGAUUCACUCCUGGGAUCAUCAGGCUUUGAGGCUGCGUAAGGCACAAAGACCUCAACGGACCUGCGCCCUCUCUGUCGCCACCUGCUCUUCUUCCCACUCUCACUGGACGUGUAGAGUCACAUUCAGGUGGCCUGGAUGCGAUCCAGGCCCUUGAAAUUGUGGUUUGCCUUUUGCCUGUGCAGGCCUUAAGAGUCCAUAAGAAUCAUUAGCAUACAGGCACGUAAAAAUUUAGAUCCAGCGAACAUGGCUCCGAGCUCUAAAUUUUCCAUAUUUAUUAAGUAGCAUGCAGGGUUUUUUGAUUUUAUGUUUAACUAACCGCUCUUUCCCACGUACAGGCAUGCACCAUGUUAUUUUUGUUUACAAGCAAGUUUUGCAUGUGUUCUUUUCUAUCAACUCUUUAUUCUUUGAAUCUUGAAAUAAUAUUUCAUUGUACACCAGUUAUGUAUGACUAGUUAUGUGCAACUAGGCUUGUAACCUCUGUAGCAAGAACUCUGUUCUGCACAAAUAAUCCAAGGCAGGGCAGGGAUUUUGAGAACUUAACUUUGCAGGCUAUGGUUUCUUUUACAGUUACAGAUGUGGCCUAAAGCUUUGUGGGCCAGGGAUUCUGUUGUCACACCGUUCUCCACCCUGCUUCUUCCCCUCAUCCUCAUGUUCUUGCUUAUAAAUUCAAGUCUGCUUUAUCAGUGGUUUUGUCAUAGAAGAAAAAAAAAACAAAACACAUUAUGUUCAGCUGUAACAAACUACUCAUAAAUAAUCCACCUUUGAACUCUGAAUCUGCAGCACUGGGAUGCAAAUGUUUGUUUACUUGAACUAUGUGACUAACAUCAACAGGCAGCAGAAGAAAGCUAUUUAUCCAAAAUGGGGCUGGAUUGCUGGGCCCCAGAGGGUGGAGGAGGAGUAGCCCUGGCUGCUGCUUUCUUUGACUGUUACUCCAUCAGGUUGCUGGUGUUUCUGCUGUGGUGACUCUGUUAAUGCUUUACAAAUGCUAUGAACUCAGCGGUAGACUAUUUGUGGAUUGUUUAAUUUAUUAACUUCUGACAAGCAGCCCAUUAUUUUUCUGAAGAACAUAUGUGACAAGGGAUUUUUAUUUUUUUAAUUUUUCAGAUUUAAGCCAAAUUCAAUAUGAGUGUCACAGGACAGGGACACUAGACCCUUCACAACUCCACCCUUCCUCUUAUUUAAUACCAAAAUUUAUCUAUAAACAAGCAGGAAGGAAGGAGGGGAGAGCACUUCUCAAAGGAAGUCGUAAGAAUCUUGUAUGAUGAAAAUGUUAGGCUGCAUAAAUUUGGAAAACAGUGCUGUUUUCUUCUGUUCAAAAUAUUCUAAUUUAAAAAAGGCUAAAAUUCCCUCAAUUUUCUUUCACUUUCUUGUAGCAAUCUCUUUCCAGUUCUGGAUUUGCCUGUACUUUGGUAUUAGCUAAUACAUGCAAUCAGGACAGAUGUAGCUAUACUGCCCAAGACAUAUGAAAUAAAUGCACCUGAAAGCUGAGCGGCAUUGCACCACUGAAAGCCAGUUGUGUUGGUUUUACCUUCUAAUAAAGGAGGCAAAGAAUUUGAAAUAUAUCUCCACAGUUUUUAAUGAUUGAUGCAAUCCCUUGUGCACAGUUGCUUUGAAAAGUGGAAGAAAAACUAACUGUAAAUACUGUCUUUUGUCUAACUAUAGCACUGUAAUUACUAACUAGCACCUUCUCUGAGAAAGAUGAGCAGGUACCUGUGAUGAGCUUUGCAAGAGGAGAGGAGAUGUUGAGAAGGUAAAAAGUGUGUCUGGUGUCACUCAGUAUGGAUUCUUACAGCCAUUAUUUAUUUUGGAACUGUGACAACUGACCAAAACAUGGGGACUACAAAUAGGAAUGCAAUGAGUAUUAACUGCGCAAGAAGAAAAAAGCAAUAUAACUUGGCACGCAGCAAAACUUGUAUCUGGUAUACAGCUGUCUGUGCAACUCCCACUGCCAUCCUGGAGGAUUUUUGUGAUUUCUCACUAAGUUU
Molecule: long non-coding RNA, 3031 nt
Organism: Aquila chrysaetos chrysaetos
Lineage: Eukaryota; Metazoa; Chordata; Aves; Accipitriformes; Accipitridae
Exons: 5
Source: RefSeq, a predicted model, not a curated record